GCCGGAGAUAUUUAAAACACUGAAGUAGCCAUUGUGCUUUUAUUCGUAGUUUCGUAUGUUCACGGAUCAAUCUGUGCGCAUUUUUAGAUUCAGGCAUCUCGUUUUGAGAACAUCUUGUUAUUCAGAGUUGCUGUUUUGUCAUGCGUCGCUUGAUGUAGGAUUUGAGCUCCGGAUUUGUUUGCACUCAAAAGCAGUUCAUUUAUAUUUUGUUAUUCACGUUCUAAGUAGCUGUAAAAGAUGACGACAUAUUGGUAUAUUUCUGCUGCCCUUUUAGUUUGUUUGAACAUUUCCAAUGCUAUUGACAUGUAUGGGUUAAGCUACAACUACUUUGACGAGAUGGCACAAAACUAUUGCGCUGCAAAAGGUGAAGGCUGGGUGUUUAGUAUUAGGCGGGAUUGUUUUGGCGUAGCUCCAACAUGCAACGACAUGUGUGCGGCGGCAAAGACCGACAUUCCUAGUGCCAUGGGAAUUCAAGUGACUAAAGCUUGCUGUUUCGAUGGAGUUUUCAUAAUAAAAGAUCACAAACAACUCCUGCCUAACCCAGCAAACUCGCAACCUGAUGCAGGAAAGGCCAGUCUGAUUACAUAUGGUUAUGGUGUUGGCGCGUGUACCUGGGGCCCUAAUCACUGUGGUCCAAACUAUUGCUGUUGCAAAGGAGAUUGGAAACAAAAUAAUUCGAUUUUGAAAUAUAUUCGAAAGAGUUAAGAUCAAAACAGUUGUGGUACUGGAAUAUUCGCAGUCAAAAAUAAUAAGAUGAAUAAACGAAUUACAGAACAAAAUGCAUUUAUGAAUAUUGUUGUAAAUCGUGUAGUUGUUUUAAUGUAUUGUUUGUAAAAUGUAAACUGAAAGUAAAAGUGAAGGUAUACAUUGGAAAAUUAAUUUGAUUUGAACCCCUUGUGUUUCAUCAUGAUAAAACCCGAAAAUACGGCAUUAAUACAUUUGUGUACAAAGUACGAUUCAUAAUUAUUAGAAAAAGUUCAGAAAUUGAUAAAAUGUUUGCUUAAUAGUGGAAAUUUUAAUUAGUUUGAUUUUAAUUUUAAAUUGUUUAGCAGGGACAAUGAUUUUUGCCAUGUUUCAUUCUAAUGAGGAACACUCAGAUAUAUAAUGUUUUUCAUAAUCCAGUAUUAUUUAAAUGUGAUACAUGUAUCUAGCACAAGUUUUGGAAUGCACAAUAUUUUUCAUUUCAAUUUCCGGCAACGAUUUCUAUCCAUACGACACACGAAUACUAACAUGGUACAUAAACAUUUGUUGAAUAUAUUGUCCCAAAAACAACAAAAACAUCAUUUUGUAUCUUGUAAAAUCUAUAUACCAGACCACAUCUAGCGUUGAAAUUUUGGCUAUUGCUAUAAGGAACUUUGAUUUUUUAUGUGUUAAUUUAAUUUUUCGAAAUAGUGUCAAUUUCACUAUCAGUCACUAGGGAAACUAACAGUCAACAUCAGAACUAACACAACGCAUACACAGUACAUGUCAGUCUUAACCGGAUGCAAAUUCAGAUAUAACUGAGAUUGUGUCAAUAUUUUGAUUCAUCAAUAAACAGGACAAACCUCAAAUUAUUGUCAUGCCCUAGAUUGUUCAUGUAAACAUGUGUUUAUGUACAUGUACAUUGUUCAUUUUUAUCGUUUAUGUUUUGCAUCUAAAUGACAAUGUCACUGUUAUUUAAGGCUUUUAUUGGAUGCUGUGUGGUAGUUAGAGCUGAUAACAGCCGAUGCCUACCUUUUGCGCUUCUUUAUUAUUUGUAAUAUCCUUUUUAAAUGUCUCAUUGUAUUAGCGUCUGUUAAUAUGGCAGCCAUUUUGGAUAAACAGGAAGUUGAUUUCCUGAUGCUGACAUAAGUGCCUUCUGGGUAGUUUACACUGGCUACAGUAUUUUUGACAGUUUAGUCAUAUGAAAUAAUUUGUUAAAUACUCAUAAUCAACCAAAAUUAUCUAAUAACAAGGUAAUAGUAGUGUUUACAAAUGAUUUAUUUAUUUAAUUGAUAUGUAUUUGACUAUUGUUUAAUUGUCAUAUCGUCAGAAAUAUCAUUUUAAGACGAGUGACAUUUACCGUGUCAAGAACGCUAAAAUUAUAUUGUGCGCUCUUGCGCGCUUUACUGAGCGUUGCUUGUGCGCUUUUUAAACACAUUUCAUAUGUGCGCUUUUAUGUUAAUAUUGCAAAAUGCUAUGCGUGCGCAUCUGGACAGUAUAUAUGGCACUGAAAAUUGUCAUUCGAGGACUCUGAACUUUGUUUUCCUAUGUGUAAGACCUAUUUUAUUUUUCUUAUAAGCAUUUAAAAUAAAGUUUUCAAUAAGACUUAGCUAUUAAAAUUAAGACUGAAUUUUAUAAAUUGCAUUUACCAUCUUUUAGGACAUUAUAAAAUAGAGAGUGCAAAUACUUAACAUGAUACCUGUAUAUUGCUGUAUUGUAAUGAUAAAUGUCUGAGAAUUAAUCUGUCUGUUAAGAAAUAUAUUAUAUAUAUAUUGAAAGUUGUUAUAAAUUUAUUCGUUAUGAAUGAAUGAA
Dreissena polymorpha is the source of this 2493-nucleotide long non-coding RNA. RefSeq lists it as uncharacterized. The transcript has 4 exons. Lineage: Eukaryota; Metazoa; Mollusca; Bivalvia; Myida; Dreissenidae. The record is from RefSeq and is a predicted model, not a curated record.